RNAcentral lists this unclassified non-coding RNA (253 nucleotides) under Chaetothyriales sp. RNAcentral's name for it is "partial contains 5.8S ribosomal RNA, internal transcribed spacer 2, and large subunit ribosomal RNA". The record is from RNAcentral. Lineage: Eukaryota; Fungi; Ascomycota; Eurotiomycetes; Chaetothyriales.
CGCACAUUGCGCCCUUUGGCAUUCCGAAGGGCAUGCCUGUUCGAGCGUCAUUAUUAACCCUCAAGCCUGGCUUGCUGUUGGACCGUGGGGGAGGUGGUCCUCUACCCGGUCCCAAAGACAAUGACGGCGUCGCCUGGACCCGCGGUACAAUGAGCUUUCACGAGCACGUAUCGGCGGGGUCCCGGGGGGCCCGGUCACUCUCCUUCUUUUUCAGGUUGACCUCGGAUCAGGUAGGGAUACCCGCUGAACUUAA